GACUUCCACGUGCUGUAAUGUGCGCGCGCGCAGAACUGGAGCGGAGGACGUCACCAUGGAAACGAGGCGGCAGCCCAACCGUCAAGCAGCUGAUCGCUGACACUCAAUGUAGUUUCACUUUUUUUUUAGAAAUGGUUUAGCGUCGUCAGAAAAAGCCCGUUAGCAUCUCAAAGAAGUGCCAGAAAAAAACCUCUAUGACGCAGGAGAAGUUCCUGAUUUUAACAUUUCUGAAGAGCUGCUGACAGAGAGGAUGAAAACAUACACAUUUUGAUGUCCACGCUGUAGGAGCAUUACUAAAUAAUGCUUAUGUUCCUAGGUUCUUCCAUGCUGAUGGCUGUGCUCUAGAGUCAUAUCUCCUGUCGAAGAACAUUUUUAGACAUUAUGAACCAUGAAUAAGUUUAGCUCCAACCCCAGUUAAGCAGACCUGAGCAGCUGAUCAAGGAUCAGCAGAAACUCUGCAGAACAUUGGUCCUUCAGCCCAGGACUGGACACCAGUGUUAGUGUCUGUCUCAGAAGCUGAAGAAAAAAGGUCACACCUUAUAGGAAAUAAACGCCCCCUAAGUGUACGGAAAUACCUGGAUGAGGAGAUCAGUGAAAUAAACCAGAUAAAACUGUCAGUGGUCUGAGACAGCUACAAGCCACAAAAACAGUUCAUAGUUCCUGCAUUUCUAUAAUGCAUUAAUGAAUAACAAUAAUUAAAAUAAAAUGUAAUGUCAAGGUUUUGUGUUAAUUCCAGCUAUGUUGAGUAUUCUGUGAAUAAUUUUGAUUUUAGGUGCAUAUUCUUAAUUCUUUGCAAAACAACCUGAACUGUUUGCUAUUGAAAGGUUGGUAUGAAGUUUAAAUAAAUAAAAACAUUAUAUUCUUGACAAAAC
Carassius auratus (goldfish) is the source of this 872-nucleotide long non-coding RNA. RefSeq lists it as uncharacterized. The transcript has 7 exons. NCBI's taxonomy places the organism in Eukaryota, Metazoa, Chordata, Actinopteri, Cypriniformes, Cyprinidae. The record is from RefSeq and is a predicted model, not a curated record.